Molecule: ribosomal RNA, 376 nt
Filed under: uncultured bacterium
Lineage: Bacteria
Description: bacterial SSU rRNA
Rfam family: Bacterial small subunit ribosomal RNA
Source: RNAcentral
UACGUAGGUGGCAAGCGUUAUCCGGAAUUACUGGGUGUAAAGGGCGUGUAGACGGGAUUAUUAGUCAGAUGUGAAAUUCCCAGGCUUAACUUGGGCGCUGCAUCUGAAACUGUAAUUCUUGAGUGUCGGAGAGGAAAGCGGAAUUCCUAGUGUAGCGGUGAAAUGCGUAGAUAUUAGGAGGAACACCAGUGGCGAAGGCGGCUUUCUGGACGAUAACUGACGUUGAGGCGCGAAAGCGUGGGGAGCAAACAGGAUUAGAUACCCUGGUAGUCCACGCUGUAAACGAUGAAUACUAGGUGUAGGGGGUAUCGACCCCCCCUGUGCCGGAGUUAACACAAUAAGUAUUCCACCUGGGGAGUACGGCCGCAAGGUUGAA